AAUAGAUACCCAGGUAGUCCUAGCCGUAAACGAUGAGCACUUAUCUGGGGAUCCUCCCAUAGGUUCCCGGAUGUAGCGAAAGUGUUAAGUGCUCCGCCUGGGGAGUAUGGUCGCAAGGCUAGAAACUACGGAAAGGAAGUUGACGGGGCUCACACAAGCGGUGGAGGAUGUGGCUUAAUUCGAGGCUACGCGAAGAACCUUAUCCAGGCCUUGACAUGUACGGAUGCUGCCCGUGAAAGCGGGUUAGUUGCCUUCGGGUGAAACGUGCACAGGUGCUGCAUGGCUGUCGUCAGCUCGUGUCGUGAGAUGUCGGGUUAAGUCCCUUAACGAGCGAAACCCCUGUUGCUAGUUGCCAGCGAGUCAUGUCGGGGACUCUAGCAAGACCGCCGGCGUUAAGCCGGAGGAAGGCGGGGAUGACGUCAAGUCCUCAUGGCCUUUAUGGCCUGGGCUGCACACGUCCUACAAUGGCGCGUACAAAGGGAAGCAAACUCGUGAGAGCAAGCAAAUCCCAAAAAGCGCGCCUCAGUUCGG
This 531-nucleotide ribosomal RNA is filed under the name uncultured bacterium. RNAcentral's name for it is "bacterial SSU rRNA". It matches the Rfam family "Bacterial small subunit ribosomal RNA", at positions 777 to 1296 of the family's 1533-position model. The record is from RNAcentral.